AGAGUUUGAUCCUGGCUCAGAUUGAACGCUGGCGGCAGGCCUAACACAUGCAAGUCGAACGGUAACAGGAAGCAGCUUGCUGCUUUGCUGACGAGUGGCGGACGGGUGAGUAAUAUCUGGGAAACUGCCUGAUGGAGGGGGAUAACUACUGGAAACGGUAGCUAAUACCGCAUAACGUCGCAAGACCAAAGAGGGGGACCUUCGGGCCUCUUGCCAUCGGAUGUGCCCAGAUGGGAUUAGCUAGUAGGUGGGGUAACGGCUCACCUAGGCGACGAUCCCUAGCUGGUCUGAGAGGAUGACCAGCCACACUGGAACUGAGACACGGUCCAGACUCCUACGGGAGGCAGCAGUGGGGAAUAUUGCACAAUGGGCGCAAGCCUGAU
RNAcentral lists this ribosomal RNA (383 nucleotides) under uncultured Escherichia sp. Its description in RNAcentral is "bacterial SSU rRNA". It matches the Rfam family "Bacterial small subunit ribosomal RNA", at positions 8 to 387 of the family's 1533-position model. The record is from RNAcentral. Lineage: Bacteria; Pseudomonadati; Pseudomonadota; Gammaproteobacteria; Enterobacterales; Enterobacteriaceae.